Molecule: ribosomal RNA, 746 nt
Filed under: Microbacterium sp. I12A-00821
Lineage: Bacteria; Bacillati; Actinomycetota; Actinomycetes; Micrococcales; Microbacteriaceae
Description: bacterial SSU rRNA
Rfam family: Bacterial small subunit ribosomal RNA
Source: RNAcentral
GCCCAGCUUGCUGGGUGGAUCAGUGGCGAACGGGUGAGUAACACGUGAGCAACCUGCCCCUGACUCUGGGAUAAGCGCUGGAAACGGCGUCUAAUACUGGAUACGAACCGCGACCGCAUGGUCAGUGGUUGGAAAGAAUUUCGGUUGGGGAUGGGCUCGCGGCCUAUCAGCUUGUUGGUGAGGUAAUGGCUCACCAAGGCGUCGACGGGUAGCCGGCCUGAGAGGGUGACCGGCCACACUGGGACUGAGACACGGCCCAGACUCCUACGGGAGGCAGCAGUGGGGAAUAUUGCACAAUGGGCGCAAGCCUGAUGCAGCAACGCCGCGUGAGGGAUGACGGCCUUCGGGUUGUAAACCUCUUUUAGCAGGGAAGAAGCGAAAGUGACGGUACCUGCAGAAAAAGCGCCGGCUAACUACGUGCCAGCAGCCGCGGUAAUACGUAGGGCGCAAGCGUUAUCCGGAAUUAUUGGGCGUAAAGAGCUCGUAGGCGGUUUGUCGCGUCUGCUGUGAAAUCCCGAGGCUCAACCUCGGGCCUGCAGUGGGUACGGGCAGACUAGAGUGCGGUAGGGGAGAUUGGAAUUCCUGGUGUAGCGGUGGAAUGCGCAGAUAUCAGGAGGAACACCGAUGGCGAAGGCAGAUCUCUGGGCCGUAACUGACGCUGAGGAGCGAAAGGGUGGGGAGCAAACAGGCUUAGAUACCCUGGUAGUCCACCCCGUAAACGUUGGGAACUAGUUGUGGGCGUUAUG